This 497-nucleotide ribosomal RNA is filed under the name uncultured bacterium. RNAcentral's name for it is "partial 16S ribosomal RNA". It matches the Rfam family "Bacterial small subunit ribosomal RNA", at positions 28 to 507 of the family's 1533-position model. The record is from RNAcentral.
GAUGAACGCUGGCGGCGUGCCUAAUACAUGCAAGUCGAGCGAACGGACGAGAAGCUUGCUGCUCUGAUGUUAGCGGAGGACGGGUGAGUAACACGUGGAUAACCUACCUAUAAGACUGGGAUAACUUCGGGAAACCGGAGCUAAUACCGGAUAAUAUUUUGAACCGCAUGGUUCAAAAGUGAAAGACGGUCUUGCGGUCACUUAUAGAUGGAUCCGCGCUGCAUUAGCUAGUUGGGAAGGUAACGGCUUACCACGGCGACGAUGCAUAGCCGACCUGAGAGGGUGAUCGGCCACACUGGAACGUAGACACGGUCAUUAGGCCUACGGGAGGGAGCAGUAGGGAAUCGUACGCAGUGGGCGAAAGCCUGACGGAGUAACGCGGAGUGAGUUAUGAAGGCCUUCGGUGCGUAAAACUCUGUUAUUAGGGAAGAACAUAUGUGUAAGGAACCGUGCACAGCGUGACGGUACCUAAUAAGAAAGCCACGGCUAACUACGUG